UGCUCUGUGUUCUAAAGGCUUAGGAUACUUCACUUUGACUGAAGUGGUGUGGGUUCGAUUCCCACCAGAGCGU
The sequence is a transfer RNA, 73 nucleotides long. It matches the Rfam family "tRNA". Rfam says of the family: Transfer RNA (tRNA) molecules are approximately 80 nucleotides in length. Their secondary structure includes four short double-helical elements and three loops (D, anti-codon, and T loops). The record is from Rfam.